UUUUAUUAUUGUUUCAGUUGGACUUUUAUUUAAGUUUACGUAUUUUAAUUAGGACUUAAAUAAUGGGCUUGGCCCUAUAUUUCUAGGUUUUCAUUAUUUAAACCUAUCAUUGGUUUGUAAUUUCUCAGUUGAUGAAUUGAUUAAGAAUUAUAAAGUUGGCUUGGCCGUUUUCUCUCCUCCUCCCUGCUUCUGCCUUCUUCUUCUCUUCUCCUCCCCCUUCCCUUCUUGUUAUUUACUGAUUUAUUAAUCUUCCUACAUCAAAUUGGUAUCAGAGCUAACCCUGGACAGCAAUUCACGCACCAUCAAUACCAAAACCCGUUGCUGCAGACAACAUACUACCUUGCCGAACCCAGUUCUCGUUUCUGCAGCUCCAGAACCAAUUGUAGCACCAAUAGAAUCAGCAACAAAACCCACGGGCAAGCUAAAGAAAAACUCAACAAACAUUGAAAAAUCUAAACCUGCCAAGUUAUCACCAUAAACCACCACGCCCGACAUGGUCGUAGGGAAGGGAAUCAGGCUCGGGACCGAGAGCGGGGGUAUUACCGUCAUGGUACACAAUCUCCCCCUCGCCACGAGGAGCGCCUCUUUCGAAACAUUAAGUUGGAUGCCCCUACGUUUGACGGUUGUCUAGAUCCUAGUGCCUUCAAUCAAUGGGUUAGAGAUAUGGAUCGCUUCUUUGCAUGGUAUGGGGUCUCGGAAGAUCGGAGGGUACAAUUUGCCAGUUUGAAAUUAACUGGCACUGCUCAACUCUUUUGGGAGAGUGUUGAAGACCUCCUUGAAAGGCGUCAUGCUCCCCCUGUUGGGAGUUGGGAUGAAAUGAAGCGCCGCCUUCAAGAAAAAUAUUUACCCCAAUCUUAUAGGGGUAACUUGCUGGAUCAAUGGAACGCACUUAUACAAGGCAAUCGACCUAUGACCGAAUAUGUUGCUCAGUUUGAUGAGUUUCGAAUGAAAUGUCAGGUUGUUGAGGAUGAAGUUAUGACUUUGAGUAGGUUUAGGCAAGGUUUAAGAGACGAACUUAGGCGCGAGCUUGUCCUUAGGGGUGUCGCCACUCUCGACCACGCCUACUCUUUCGUUCGGGAUUAUAAAUUAGUGACUAGAACACCAUAUAGAAAUCGUAGUGACUCCCGCACUACAACCUCAUCUGCAUCCACGCCAUCCCCUAAGUCUAUUCUAGGUCCUCCUCCCUCUAAUACUACCCCUGCAUCGGAUAGCAAAGGUAGAGGUUUUGAGGUCUCAAGGACAUCCUCCCGUUUGCAAUGCUUCAACUGUAAGGGUUUUGGUCACAUUGCUUCUAAGUGCCCUAGUCGAGCCCUAGUUCUGGACGAACGUUAGGAUAUAGUCGUUGAACCACUAGAGGAUCAGGUUUAUGAGCCUAAAUUAGAAGAGUUUGAAGACUUGGAGGACAGCGAGGAUACCUUCUUAGGUUGUAUUCAGGCUAAUCCCAUUAUCCCACAUACACCCAGGGUCGGUGUCGUCCGUUGCACCCUCACCCAACCUAAGGAUGCCGACGAUUGGCGCCGUCAUGCCAUCUUCCACACCUACAUCAAGAUUAAUAACAAGGGCUGUAAAGUUAUCGUGGAUAGUGGCAGUUGUAUUAAUGCGGUUUCGAAGGCUACUAUAUCCCGUCUAGGGUUGAAGCAAGUUCCUCACCCCCAGCCUUAUAGUGUCUCUUGGGUUGACACCUCCUGUAUAGCUGUUAAGGAGCGUUGUUUGGUCCCUAUCCAGUUCCUGGAGUAUAAGGACCAUAUAUGGUGUGACGUUAUUUCGAUGGACGUCGGGCACAUCAUCUUAGGACGACCUUGGCUAUUUGACCUAGAUGUAACCAUAUAUGGUCGAUCCAAUUCCUGCUCCUUCGUGUUUAAUGGAAAGAAGAUUCACCUUAACCCACUAUCCCCAAAGCCGGUUGGUUCACUAGAAGCGACGAAAAGCGUGGAACAAAAGGGGUUGCAUAUCAUUAGUCCUACAGAGUUUGAGCGUACAAUUGUUGGUGACUCAAUUGUGUUCGCCUUAGUAGUCAUGGAGGUUUCAUCUAACUCCCCAAGCGAGGAUACCGCGGAAGUCCAAUCGAUCCUUCAGGAGUUUCGAGAUGUCUUUCCGGAAGACCUACCUGAUCAUCUACCUCCGCUAAGAGAUAUUCAACAUGCCAUAGAUUUCGUCCCCGGCGCAUCCCUUCCAAAUUUGCCACAUUAUAGGAUGAAUCCUACCGAGCACGCUGAGCUCCAAAGGCAAGUGAAUGACCUUCUCAACAAAGGAUUCAUUCGUGAGAGUUUAAGCCCAUGUGCUGUCCCCGCCCUAUUGACGCCCAAAAAGGAUGGAUCUUGGAGAAUGUGUGUGGAUAGUCGCACUAUCAAUAGGAUCACGGUGAAGUAUCGUUUUUCCAUUCCCGGGCUUGAUGAUAUGUUGGAUAUGAUGGUUGGCGCGACAAUCUUUUCAAAGAUCGAUCUAAAGAGUGGGUACCAUCAAAUUAGAAUUCGCCCAGGGGAUGAGUGGAAGACCGCGUUUAAGACGAAAGAUGGCCUUUAUGAAUGGCUGGUCAUGCCUUUUGGGCUAAGUAAUGCGCCGAGUACCUUCAUGCGGGUAAUGACACACUCUUCGGCCGUUCAUGGGGAAAUUUCUCGUUGUCUACUUUGAUGAUAUCCUCAUCUAUAGUAAAACUAAGGAGCAACACCGUGACCACCUCAAACAAGUUUGCUCUACCCUUCGCGAGACUAACCUGUAUGCUAAUGUCAAGAAAUGUUCCUUUUUCAUCGAUAACGUAGUUUUUCUGGGGUUCAUUGUCUCGUCGACAGGGGUGUCGGCUGACCCUACUAAGAUUCAGGCGAUAAUUGACUGGCCUGAGCCUAAGGCCAUUCAUGAUGUCAGGAGCUUUCACGGCUUAGCUACGUUUUACCGCCGUUUUAUUAAAGGAUUUAGCACUAUUAUGGCGCCUAUCACGGAGUGCAUGAAGAAAGGAGAGUUUCAUUGGACACGAGGGGCAGCGAAGACCUUUAAGUUAGUCAAGGAGCGAAUGACAGAAGCUCCUGUCAUGCGUCUUCCCGAUUUUUCCAAAGUCUUUGAAGUUGAAUGUGACGCUUCUGGGGUAGGUAUAGGCGAAGUCUUAAGUCAGGAUCGUCACCCUGUCGCCUAUUUCAGCGAAAAGUUAAAUGAGGCCAAACGACGAUAUUCAACGUAUGAUAAGGAACUGCAUGCGGUGGUCCAGGCUUUGCGCUAUUGGCGCCACUACUUGUUGCCUCAAGAAUUUGUCCUUUAUUCGGACCACGAAGCCCUCCGUUACCUCAACUCUCAGAAGAGGUUAAGUUCUAGGCAUGGACGUUGGGUUGAAUAUUUGCAGGCCUAUUCAUUUGUUUUAAAACACAAGAAGGGCGUGGAGAACCAAGCAGCUGACGCGUUAAGUCGUCGUGUUUCCCUUUUGUCGAUCAUGAGUGUCAAAGUCAUUGGUUUUGAAAGGCUUAAGGAGGAUUACGAGGCAUGCCCAGAUUUUAAGGAUAUCUUUCUCGAUUUACAAGGAGGACAAUCAAACAGCACAGAUGACUUUCGACUUGAGCAGGAUUAUCUCUUUCGAACCAAUAAAUUGUGCAUCCCUCGAAUUUCAGUGCGAGAUUUUAUAGUGUGAAAAGUUCACGCAGGAGGGUUAGCCGGUCACUUUGGACGUGAUAAGACCAUUGAGGAGGUUGAACGCCAAUUCUAUUGGCCUAGUUUAAAGAGAGAUGUGGCUAAAAUUGUUAGUACAUGUAACACUUGUCAAUUGGCCAAACAGAAGAAGCAGAACACAGGCCUAUACACUCCUCUCCCCGUCCCCAAUUGUCCUUGGCAAGACGUUAGUAUGGAUUUUGUGCUAGGACUGCCACGCACCCUAAAGAAGCAUGAUUCUAUUUUCGUGGUUGUCGAUCGUUUCUCGAAAAUGGCUCACUUUAUCCCCUGUAGCAAAAUAUCGGAUGCGUCCAAGGUUGCCAUGUUAUUCUUUAAUGAGAUUGUCAAACUGUAUGGACUUCCCAAAACCAUCGUGUCCGAUAGGGACGCUCGCUUCACUAGCCAUUUUUGGAGGACUUUGUGGCAUAAGAUGAGCACCAAAUUAAAAUUUUCUACAGCCUACCACCCUCAAACUGACGGUCAGACCGAAGUUGUUAAUCGGAGUCUUGGUAACUUAUUACGUUGUAUGGUCCGGGAGAACCUUCGAAAUUGGGAUUUAAUCCUUCUUGUCGCUCAAAUCGCGUAUAAUAGCUCCGUAAAUCGUUCAUUGGGUAUGAGUCCAUUUGAAGCCGUUCACGGAUACAAGCCUAGGAAACCAUUAGAUCUCAUCCCUAUGUUCCCACAGGCUAGAGUGUCAGUAUCAGCCGAAACAUUUGUACAACACCUUCGUGAUUUGCACAUUGAGAUCAAUAAACAACUUGAAGCCAGUAAUGCAAAUUAUAAACUACAAGCAGAUUUAUAUAAACGACAUAUUGAGUUUAAUGUUAGGGAUUACGUUAUGGUUCGCAUUAGGCCAGAGCGGCGUCUACAUGGACCCGCCUCCAAAUUGCAGGCUCGUAGUGCUGGUCCUUUUAAAAUUUUAAAGCAAGUUGGUCCAAAUGCAUAUAUUGUUAACAUUCCAUCCCACAUUGGUUACCACCAUACUUUCAAUGUUGAAGACCUUGUAGCUUAUAAAGGCUAUUUCAUUCCCUCAGAUGAUCCCCUGUUACCUCCUUUUGUGGACCUUGAUCCUAAUUCUUUGGCCCCUUCUAACCCACUACCACCUCUCACAGCACACACAGAUAAAAUUGAUGCUAUUUUAGAUGAAGAAACUGUGUUCACUAAUGAUGGAGAGGUUCAGCGCUUCCUUGUUCGUUGGGUUGGUCGCCCAGAUUCUGAUUGUGCAUGGAUCUCCAGGGAGACACUACAGCAUUUGGAUCCUGAUUUGUUAGAGCUUUAUCGGAGUCAGUAGGAUCUUCCUUGGCCCAGAUCGCCUCCCGUUCACCCGAGGGGAGUUGAUGAGGACACCAGGUUCAGACCGCCACUGACACAUUUCUACAGACGCCGGAAGAAACUUGCCCAACCACUCAGCUUAUGGUUGGGAGAUUGACGGGAAUCUACGGUGAUAUAUCCACUCGACAGGGUCGAGUUUUCUCCCACCUCGGGAGAAUUGAUGAGGACAUCCUUAUAGUUGGACUUUUAUUAUUGUUUCAGUAUUUUAGUUGGACUUUUAUUAUUGUUUCAGUUGGACUUUUAUUUAAGUUUACGUAUUUUAAUUAGGACUUAAAUAAUGGGCUUGGCCCUAUAUUUCUAGGUUUUCAUUAUUUAAACCUAUCAUUGGUUUGUAAUUUCUCAGUUGAUGAAUUGAUUAAGAAUUAUAAAGUUGGCUUGGCCGUUUUCUCUCCUCCUCCCCGCUUCUGCCUUCUUCUUCUCUUCUCCUCCCCCUUCCCUUCUUGUUAUUUACUGAUUUAUUAAUCU
RNAcentral lists this long non-coding RNA (5427 nucleotides) under Olea europaea (common olive). RNAcentral's name for it is "long non-coding RNA (OEUR_LNC008428)". Lineage: Eukaryota; Viridiplantae; Streptophyta; Magnoliopsida; Lamiales; Oleaceae. The record is from RNAcentral.